RNAcentral lists this ribosomal RNA (200 nucleotides) under uncultured bacterium. Its description in RNAcentral is "partial 16S ribosomal RNA". It matches the Rfam family "Bacterial small subunit ribosomal RNA", at positions 1302 to 1500 of the family's 1533-position model. The record is from RNAcentral.
AGUCUGCAACCCGACUACAUGAAGCUGGAAUCGCUAGUAAUCGCGGAUCAGAAUGCCGCGGUGAAUACGUUCCCGGGUCUUGUACACACCGCCCGUCACACCAUGGGAGUCGGAAAUGCCCGAAGUCUGUGACCCAACCUUAGGGAGGGAGCAGCCGAAGGCAGGUCGGAUGACUGGGGGUGAAGUCGUAACAAGGUAUC